Molecule: ribosomal RNA, 561 nt
Filed under: Priceomyces sp. NYNU 14451
Lineage: Eukaryota; Fungi; Ascomycota; Pichiomycetes; Serinales; Debaryomycetaceae
Description: eukaryotic LSU rRNA
Rfam family: Eukaryotic large subunit ribosomal RNA
Source: RNAcentral
AAACCAACAGGGAUUGCCUUAGUAACGGCGAGUGAAGCGGCAAAAGCUCAAAUUUGAAAUCUGUCACCUUCGGUGUCCGAGUUGUAAUUUGAAGAUUUAAGGUUUACUGGGUCUUGUCUAUGUUCCUUGGAAUAGGACAUCACAGAGGGUGAGAAUCCCGUGCGAUGAGAUGCCGUAUUGUAACCUUUUUUCGACGAGUCGAGUUGUUUGGGAAUGCAGCUCUAAGUGGGUGGUAAAUUCCAUCUAAAGCUAAAUAUUGGCGAGAGACCGAUAGCGAACAAGUACAGUGAUGGAAAGAUGAAAAGAACUUUGAAAAGAGAGUGAAAAAGUACGUGAAAUUGUUGAAAGGGAAGGAUUUGAGAUCAGACUUGGUAUUUUGCAACCUUACUCUCGUGGUGGGGCCCCUGCAGUUUACUGGGCCAGCAUCAGUUUGGAUGAUGGGAUAAUGACAUUGGAAUGUGACUCUGCUUCGGUGGAGUGUUAUAGCCCUUGUUGAUACCGUCUAUCUAGACUGAGGACUGCGUCUUUGACAAGGAUGUUGGCAUAAUGAUCUUAAAUCGC